UGAAUACGAGACGCUAAGGCGUCGAAGUAGUGUAUGUCAUACUUCCAAGAAAAGCUUGCACUGUCAUAAGUAAAAAAUGCCUGUACCAUAACCGACACAGGUGGGUAGGUAGAGUAUACUAAGGGGCGCGAGAUAACUCUCUCUAAGGAACUCGGCAAAAUAACUCCGUAACUUCGGGAGAAGGAGUACCUUAUUCUAUAAGGUUGCAAUAACAAGAUCCAAGCAACUGUUUAUCAAAAACACAGGUCUCCGCUAAGUCGUAAGACGAUGUAUGGGGGCUGACGCCUGCCCCGUGCCAGAAGGUUAAAGAAGUCGGUUAGCAUUAGCGAAGCUGGUAACUGAAGCCCUGGUUAACGGCGGCCGUAACAAUAACGGUCCUAAGGUAGCGAAAUUCCUUGUCGGGUAAGUUCCGACCCGCACGAAAGGCGUAAUGAUUUGGAUACUGUCUCGGAGAGGGGCUCGGUGAAAUAGACUUGUCUGUGAAGAUGCGGACUACCUGCACCAGGACAGAAAGACCCUAUGGAGCUUUACUGUAACUUGAAAUUGAAAUUGGACUUUAUUCGCGCAGUAUAGGUGGGAGGUGUUGAUUAUAAUCUUGCGGGAUUAUUGGAGCCAUCAGUGAGAUACCACUCUUGUAAUGUUAGAUUUCUAACUUUGAAUCAUUAUCUGGUCAAAGGACAGUUUCAGGCGGGCAGUUUGACUGGGGCGGUCGCCUCCCAAACGGUAACGGAGGCGUACAAAGGUUUCCUCUGAACGGGUAGAAAUCGUAUCUAGAGUGUAAAGGCAUAAGGAAGCUUGACUGUGAGACCUACAAGUCGAACAGGGACGAAAGUCGGUCUUAGUGAUCUGACGGUACUGAGUGGAAAGGCCGUCACUCAACGGAUAAAAGUUACUCUAGGAUAACAGGCUGAUCUCCCCCAAGAGUUCACAUCGACGGGGAGGUUUGGCACCUCGAUGUCGGCUCAUCGCAUCCUGGGGCGGUAGUACGUCCCAAGGGUUGGGCUGUUCGCCCAUGAAAGCGGUACACGAGCUGGGUUCAGAACGUCGUGAGACAGUUCGGUCCAUAUCCGGUGUAGGCGUUAGAAUAUUGAGAGGAGCCUUCUUUAGUACGAGAGGACCGAGAAGGACAUACCUCUGGUGUACCAGUUAUCGCGCCAACGGUAAACGCUGGGUAGCUAUGUAUGGAGUGGAUAACCGCUGAAAGCAUCUAGGUGGGAAGCCCACCUCAAGAUAAG
Molecule: ribosomal RNA, 1235 nt
Filed under: metagenome
Description: bacterial LSU rRNA
Rfam family: Bacterial large subunit ribosomal RNA
Source: RNAcentral